This 253-nucleotide ribosomal RNA is filed under the name uncultured bacterium. RNAcentral's name for it is "partial 16S ribosomal RNA". It matches the Rfam family "Bacterial small subunit ribosomal RNA", at positions 524 to 776 of the family's 1533-position model. The record is from RNAcentral.
GACAGAGGGUGCAAACGUUGUUCGGAAUUACUGGGCGUAAAGGGCGCGUAGGCGGGAUGGCAAGUCGGUCGUGAAAUCCCUCGGCUCAACCGAGGAACGUCGAUCGAUACUGCUGUUCUUGAGGAUUGCAGAGGAGACUGGAAUUCCCGGUGUAGCGGUGAAAUGUGUAGAGAUCGGGAGGAACACCGGUGGCGAAGGCGGGUCUCUGGGCAAUUCCUGACGCUGAGGCGCGAAAGCGUGGGGAGCAAACGGG